Molecule: ribosomal RNA, 475 nt
Filed under: unidentified nematode Sourhope farm
Lineage: Eukaryota; Metazoa; Nematoda
Description: SSU rRNA
Rfam family: Eukaryotic small subunit ribosomal RNA
Source: RNAcentral
UCUAAGUAUAACCUGCCAGACAGGGAAACUGCGUACGGCUCAUUACACCAGCCUUAAUUUACUUGACCUUGACAACCUACUUGGAUAACUGUGGUGAUUCUAGAGCUAAUACAUGCACCAAAGCUCCGAUCCUCGCGGAGAGGAGCGCAUUUGUUCGCCACAAAACCAAGCGCCCAUCUGGGCGUCCAGUGCUGAACCAGAACAACUCAGCUGAUCGCACGGUCUUGUACCGGCGACGUGUCUUUCAAGUGUCUGCCUUAUCAACUUUCGAUGGUAGUGUACCUGACUACCAUGGUUGUGACGGGUAACGGAGGAUAAGGGUUCGACUCCGGAGAAGGGGCCUGAGAAAUGGCCACUACGUCUAAGGAUGGCAGCAGGCGCGCAAAUUACCCACUCUCAACGCGAGGAGGUAGUGACGAGAAAUAACGAGACCGUUCUCAUACGAGGCCGGUUAUUGGAAUGGGUACAAUUUAAA